This 327-nucleotide ribosomal RNA is filed under the name uncultured eukaryote. RNAcentral's name for it is "partial 18S ribosomal RNA". It matches the Rfam family "Eukaryotic small subunit ribosomal RNA", at positions 1470 to 1796 of the family's 1831-position model. The record is from RNAcentral.
CCCUUAGAUGUUCUGGGCCGCACACGCGCUACACUGAAGGAGGCAGCGUGUACUCCUGGAUCGAAAGAUUUGGGUAACCCGCGAAUCUCCUUCGUGCUAGGGAUUGAGGUUUGCAAUUAUCCUUCAUGAACGAGGAAUUCCCAGUAAGUGCAAGUCAUAAGCUCGCGUUGAUUACGUCCCUGCCCUUUGUACACACCGCCCGUCGCUCCUACCGAUUGAAUGGUCCGGUGAAAUGUUCGGACCGCGACAAGGCGGACGGUUCGCUGUCAGCUUUGCUGCGGGAAGUUCAUUAAACCUUAUCAUUUAGAGGAAGGAGAAGUCGUAACA